This 1005-nucleotide unclassified non-coding RNA is filed under the name Hevea brasiliensis (rubber tree). The record is from RNAcentral. Lineage: Eukaryota; Viridiplantae; Streptophyta; Magnoliopsida; Malpighiales; Euphorbiaceae.
AUUAGACUUAAUAGCAUGUGAAACCAGCAAGUCAUAUUUACUAUCACGUAAGCUAACGAAGAUUAAAACAAUAAUAUAGAGAGAGAAUGAGAGAUAUGAGGCAUUUUUAAAAAGUUUUUCCUUCUUCGUUUUCUUAAGACUUGCUGCUAUUGCUGCUUAUUGCUUUUUAUUCUUACUUCUUCUCUUUCUUUUUUCUUCUUUGUAUACUAACAUCCUAGGUUCCCUUAUUUUAUUAAAAAGAAAGAUUAGGAAAAAUAAGAAGAAAUGAACAGGAACUUCUUUUUCUUUCCUUUGAUUUUGCAUUAAGCAUGGUGAAAUGGAAUCGCUUGAUUUAGGGACCCAAAACGCAUUUCAAGCAAUUUGGGAUGCAAAUGUCUCUCGUUUUGGAACACGCGAUUUGGGUCACGGAACCCAGGGGGUUAAGGAGAAUCUGGCAACUAUGUUCUAUCCUAAAAUGAAAAGAAACACUCAAAAGAUAGAUGCAAAAUCCACAACAUUUUACAAAAUUCAACCCUCAAAAUUUCCUAAACAUAACCAUGAAGAUAGUCUGUGAUGAGUGCUCUUAAUACAUCACACUGGGGUUGGGUAAAAGGUGCAGAACAAGUUGCCAGAUAAAAAAUUUACAAUGAUCAAGGUUGAAAGGGAUGUGAGAUUCAAAUCCUCACAAAAAGAAGGUAUUAUUCCAGUGCAAUCAAACAAUUGUUCUUACUUUAUAUCCAGAAAUGAAAGGGAAAAAAAAAAAAAUCAGACGAUAGAUGCAAAGUCCAUAACUUUUUUACAAGAGUCAACCCUCAAAAUUCCCUAAACAUAACCAUGUAGAUAGUCUGUGAUGAGUAGUCUUAACACAUCACAUUAGGGUUGGGUACAAGUCGCAGAAUAAGUUGCCAGAUAAAAAUUUCCAGUGAUCAAGUUUGAAAGGACUAUUUAAAGGGCAAAUCUUCACAAAAAGAAGGGACUCGUUCCAGUGCAAUCAAACAUUUGCUAUUAGUUUCUAUCCUAUUGGUU